GGUGCUUCUCUGCCUCUGCUCUCCUGGCUCAGGCCCAGCAUCCAGAGAUGCUCUGGCCUCUCCAGUGGCUUCAGCAGCACAGAUUUCUCCUGCACCGCCCUGGGAGUCAUCCCAACUGCAGGAUCUGUGUUCAGACUCCUGGCCAGGACAAUACUGAAGUCUUCAGACAGUCAAGGCACUUUGCAGCCUCUCAGAGUGACCUAGCCAGCCGGCAUGGCAGCAGUCCGUACAGCAGGCGGAAAAGUGAAACCCAGCCAACUGAACCUAUCACUCUACGUCACCCCUAAGCGGGAGCUUCCCCUACACCAGGGAGCUCAAUAGGUUCCUGGAUGAGGACAGCAGGAGCCCUAAAAGAUGCCACUGCCCCAGACAGCAGGAAUUAAUUUUAAGUACAUGAUGCCCACAUUCCCAAGGGGAGGGGAGAAAAAUGUUAGCAACUCCUUAUUGACUUCCUGAAAUCGACUCCCAUCUUGCUGCUCCCUGGAAGGGGGGCUGUCUGGAAGCAGAGCCUGAAAGCUGGAUACUCUGUGCUUUUCUUCAUUUUCCUCACCAUUCUGAGGGAAGAAGAUGAAGCCUAGGUCAUUUGUGCCAAGAGACGAUGUCAACAGCUUCAUGAAGGGGAUUUGUUCACCCUAUAAGUGCUCCACUUAGAGGCAUGGGCCCUGGAGAAUAAUCCUCUGGCAUCAAGAAACCCUGAAAAUGCAGCCACGGGGUUCAGCCUCUGGGGACACAGGAACUCAUGGCAGGAUGGAGACUGAGAUCCAAGGUCUAAUGAGGGAUAUCAGGACAGAGGAGGAUCCUGAGAAGAGUGUGUGCUAUUUGUUUCCAUGGAGAUGGAGUCGACAGGAUGAACCGCCACAGCAGCUGAUGUUGAUUCUGCUGGUAGGGGACCGCGAGAAUCUCUUCCUGCUUCCUGUAUUUACUUCAUUUUCCUUCAUUCACUGUUCCUGUUCAGAUUCUUUUUUUAGUGGAAAAAAAAUAAGUAUACUGAGUCACAUUUCUCAAGUCAUUCUGGUCUCUUUUUAAACUCCCCAUGCAAUCUGGAUCUUAGAGGCAGAGUCAUAUGACAUUGGCUGUUUUUGCUUCCUGACCCACAAGUCAUCAAGAACCCUUAAUGGCAUUAAUUCCUAUGCCUCAAUAUACGUCAGCUGACAUGUCAUAUUUAUACAUAGAGCAUCCAUAACUUUUUUUAACCUCCCAUGGCCAAAUCUGGCAAUUAGUUGUGACCCACCUUCGGUGAUCAAG
Molecule: non-coding RNA, 1245 nt
Organism: Cricetulus griseus (Chinese hamster)
Lineage: Eukaryota; Metazoa; Chordata; Mammalia; Rodentia; Cricetidae
Source: RefSeq, a predicted model, not a curated record